AAUGAACGCUGGCGGCGUGCUUAACACAUGCAAGUCGAAUGAGAAAGUUUCUUCGGAAACGAGUAGAGUGGCGAACGGGUGAGUAACGCGUAAGAAUCUGCCCUUUAGUGAGGAAUACCUUCGGGAAGCUGAAGUUAAUACCGCAUAGUCCCUUCGGGGCAAAGACGGCCUCUUGCUGUCGCUAAAGGAUGAGCUUGCGUACUAUUAGUUAGUUGGUGGGGUAAAGGCCUACCAAGACAGAGAUGGUUAGCCGGCCUGAGAGGGUGAUCGGCCACAUUGGGACUGAGAUACGGCCCAG
RNAcentral lists this ribosomal RNA (298 nucleotides) under uncultured bacterium. RNAcentral's name for it is "partial 16S ribosomal RNA". It matches the Rfam family "Bacterial small subunit ribosomal RNA", at positions 29 to 334 of the family's 1533-position model. The record is from RNAcentral.